This 3834-nucleotide ribosomal RNA is filed under the name Triticum aestivum (bread wheat). RNAcentral describes it as "partial small subunit ribosomal RNA". Lineage: Eukaryota; Viridiplantae; Streptophyta; Magnoliopsida; Poales; Poaceae. The record is from RNAcentral.
AUGCCCCGGAGCUCGCGCCACAGGUCGUCGCACCGGUCGCACAGGCGGGGCGGCUCGGCGGAGCGGUCGGAGUCUGAGGGCGAGGAUGCUGGCGCCCCUGGCCCGCGGGAGGAGGCCCCGCCCGUGGCUAGGGUUCCGCGAGAUCCCGAGCCAGAGAGGCGCAGAUCGUCAUCGGCCAAGGAGCUGGUGAGCUCGGGGAACGGCUACUCGGAGCACGGGAAGAAGAGGAAGGAUAGGGUUGAGGAGACGGUGGUGGAUGUGGUCAGCGACAGGUGGAACAGCGGCGUGUGUGAGGAUCACUUGGUCGAGAAGAGGUCUAAGAGUGAGGUGUUUGGGCCCGUCGAUGUGGAGAAGCUGGCGGAGAAGCCCAAGGCUUCAGGGGAUGAGCCCAAGAGGUCAAGCAGACGGACGGCGGGAUCGGAUGAGAGGGUUGAGGAGGUUGUGUCCAAGAGUGAUUCCGGGAAGCGGCGGUCGGAGAAGGAGAAGGAGAAGGACCCAGGGAGGAGGGAGAGUAGUGGGCAGCAUAAGGAUGACAGAGAUAGGGAUAGGGAGAGAGAUAGAGAAAAGGAGAGGGAAAGGGAGAAAGAAUGGGAGAGACUGAAGGAGAGAGAGAGGGAAAGGGGCCGGGACAGAGAGAGGGAGAAGGAGAAGGAAAGAGAACGGGAGAAGGAGAAGGAGAGAGAACGGGAGAGGGAGCGGGAUAAAGAGCGUGACAGGGAACGAGAGCGGGAGCGUGACAGGGAACGGGAGCGUGAGAGGCAAAAGGAUAGGGAGAGGGACAAGAAAGACUACGAUUCCAAGAAUGAGAAGUAUGAAGAUGGCAGUGCCAGGAAGAAUGGCUCGAAGACUAGUAGAGGGGAGGAUGAGGGUUACUCAUACAAGAGACACGUAGAGAUCAAUGAUACUCCAGCUAAAGAGAGACACAGUAACCCCGAUAGGGAUAGGGAUAGGGAGACUGAUAAACACAGCCGACGAAAAGACGACUCGGAAGACAAAGAUAAGUGGCCAAUUGACAAUAGAGACAGUGAUGACAGGAAGACUCUGUCCAGGUAUGAUCAUGGGAAGGUUAGGAGCUCUAAGGAACAAAGGUUUGAUGAUGAGAAGUAUAAACAGAAGUACAAGGAUGAUUAUGAAAGGGAUAAGAGACAGCAAGAUGACAAGUGUCUGGAUGAGCGCAUGAUCCGAGAUCAUGGAAGUGACAGGGUUGAUUACAAGAGCACAAAAGAUGGGCACCGAAUUUCAGAGGGCCAUUACAGAAAAGAUAUAGUUCAAGACGGUGAUCGUUAUGAUGAGUAUGGCAGUAGGUACAAGGAAAAUAGAGGUAGAAAAAGACUUCCUGAGGAAAAUGAUGACCAUUAUGAUCUGAAAACUCCAAGCGCACGGGAGCAACGUGGAAAUUUGGAAAAAUCUUCAGGCAGUGGGCGACUCGAUUCUCUGAUUGAGAGAGCAAGGUCUGAACAUAGACAUCAAGAAAAUGUUGAUUCUAGUCCGAGUAAAGUCCAUGCAAGAACUUCGCCUGGCUCAAAUCCUCAUCAUGAAAAAGAUCAAAGCUGGCAUGGAUCUAAACUGGCAGAUAAUACAAAGAGAGAGAUACAAUAUGAUGAAAGAAGUAUUCGACCAAGGACAUCCUCAGGGAGAGAACGGACACCUGCUUCUAGACUGCGUGACAGGGAUACUGACAAUUGGUCUUCGGAAAGGCUCAAACAGAAGGAUGAUCUCCAGUCACGUGACAUACCAUUGGAAAUUUCUACAUCGUCACAAUAUGAUCGAACACCAAGGAAAGAUAUGCAUCCUUCACCAAAACAGCUAUCUGAUAAAUCCCCAUCUUCAAACGACCAAAGGUUUUCAGGUAGGCUUAGCGGUGGCCGUAGUCUUGAUAACAAAGGGGAAAGGAGCAACCUGACUAAAUAUAGAGAUCGGGAUGGUGAUUUAUCCUUAGAACGGUCACUUCAUCAAGAUCGAACACCAUCUAAAAUUCCAUACAGAGAAUCAACACCCUCUGCAUCAUCCAUAAGCAGAGGUGGGCAUUUUUCAGGCACUUCUCCAAAUCGUCUACUGCUGCCACCUGCGAGGCACAGAGAUGAUUCUUCCUUCUUGGGUUCACAUGAUGAUGACCGUAGACCGCAAAGUGGAGAUAGGAGGUUCCAUGCCCAUCAGAAGAGGAAUGAUAUGAAUUCUGGACGCGGCCAUGGGCAUGCCUGGAAUAAUGCACCGAGCUGGCCAUCUCAAGUUGCAAAUGGUUUUGUCCCCAUGCAGCAUGGUGCUCCUGGAUUUCACCCACCUGUACAUCAGUUUCACCCCCCACCUAUGUUUAACCUUAGGCCCCAAAUGAAGUUGAGCCAAACUGGAGUUUCAUAUCCUAUGCAUGACACCGUUGACAGGUUUUCGCCCCACAUUCGCCCAUUUGGGUGGCCUAAUCCGCUCGAUGAAUCAUGCCCCCCUCACCUACAAGUUUGGAAUGGGGGCACUGGUGUAUUUGGUGGUGAACCUUAUAUGUAUGGCAGGCAAGAAUGGGAUCAGAACAAGCUGCAUGUCGGCAGCAGAGGGUGGGAGGCAACUGGUGAUGCAUUGAAGGGACAAAAUGAAUUGGCUGACACUGAAUUUCCUGUUGCUAAAAAGGAGCUUGACUCUUUAGCAACCCCUGUUUCAGAGUCUUCAGGUGGACAAUGCAAUCUUAAUCCUUUUGAGCAGAAAGAAGCAAACCAUUUGGUUUCAGAAAAACGUGAAGCAAAGGGUGAUGUCACAAGUGCUGUAAAAAGUUCUGAUGCUCCCAGGGGAACAACACUCAUGGCCUCCAUGUUGUCAAGCAACGGUACUGCAGUAUUUUCUAGAAACUAUUUAUCGAGAGUUAGUGUGUCGCAUGAUCUUGUUGAGUCGGAGUUGUACAAAAGGUGCACAUCUCUGCUGGGAGACUUGGGCAUAGCAAAUGGUGGCCCUGAUGUUGUUUGGAAUGGCUCUAUUCAGAAGAAUGGAAAUGCUGGAAAGAUAAGUAGAGAACAGGGAAGCCCCAAUCUGUUGGGUUUAUUUUAUGUGAAGAACAACGAUGCAACUUUUCAGAGAGCUAUGGCCCUUCACAAGAAUCAGACAGAGAGAGCUGUGGCUCCUACCCAAGCGCAAACUGAUGGGAAAAUGGACUCAACACAAGAGAAUAAGGAGGACACAGAAAUGCUUGACCGUACUCCACUGAAGGAAUUGACGGUGAGUAACCCUGUCUUGCACCACCGUACUGGCAUUUUUGAAGGGCCACCUGCAACUACAGAAUCUGGUGAUGUGGAUUCACCUCCAGCAAUCACAGACUCUGGUGAUGUGAAUGCUCCUCGAGCAAUCACAGAAUCUGGCGAUGUGGAUGCACCUCCAGUAAUCACUGAAUCUGGUGACACGGAGAUGGUGGCACCUCCUGGAACCGCAGGUCCUGAUGAAGAUAUGGAGGUGGCUGCCUCUCCAUCAAUCACAGAACCUGAUAAAAACAUGGAGGAUGUGUCACCACCUGCAGUUGCCGUACCCGUGGAUGGCCCAGCAGAUGAUGCAACAGGAUUAAUCAUAGAACAUAUUGAUGGCUCGCAGGAGGUUCCUUCAGCAAAUGAAGAGCCAGGUGAUACUGUAGAGGUUGUGCCUCCAGCGUUCACAGAACAAUCUGGCCAAGUCAAGGAUGAUCCUCCUUCUGUGGCUACUCCUAACAGUGGAGAGGCUGACUCCAUGCAUGCAGCAGUUGAAAAAGAUAUGGAUGAGGUUACUGAUGACAGCCCUGGGGAUGGUGAAGUGAAUGCAUCUAACUUUGUUUCGGAGUUGGAUGUUGUUGCAAGUGGCGCUCAGGAUUGUGAAGGGUUUCUUUGA